This 274-nucleotide ribosomal RNA is filed under the name uncultured bacterium. RNAcentral's name for it is "partial 16S ribosomal RNA". It matches the Rfam family "Bacterial small subunit ribosomal RNA", at positions 523 to 796 of the family's 1533-position model. The record is from RNAcentral.
AUACGGAGGGUGCGAGCGUUAAUCGGAAUUACUGGGCGUAAAGCGUGCGUAGGCGGUUGAUUUAGUCAGAUGUGAAAGCCCCGGGCUCAACCUGGGAACUGCAUUUGAAACUGGUCAACUGGAGUAUGGUAGAGGGGGGUAGAAUUUCUGGUGUAGCGGUGAAAUGCGUAGAUAUCAGAAGGAAUACCGAUGGCGAAGGCAGCCCCCUGGACCAGUACUGACGCUGAGGCGCGAAAGCGUGGGGAGCAAACAGGAUUAGAUACCCCAGUAGUCC